RNAcentral lists this ribosomal RNA (460 nucleotides) under uncultured bacterium. RNAcentral's name for it is "partial 16S ribosomal RNA". It matches the Rfam family "Bacterial small subunit ribosomal RNA", at positions 338 to 795 of the family's 1533-position model. The record is from RNAcentral.
CCUACGGGUGGCAGCAGUGAGGAAUAUUGGUCAAUGGACGCAAGUCUGAACCAGCCAUGCCGCGUGCAGGAAGACGGCUCUAUGAGUUGUAAACUGCUUUUGUACGAGGGUAAACGCAGAUACGCGUAUCUGUCUGAAAGUCUCGUACGAAUAAGGAUCGGCUAACUCCGUGCCAGCAGCCGCGGUAAUACGGAUGAUUCAAGCGUUAUCCGGAUUUAUUGGGUUUAAAGGGUGCGUAGGCGGUCGGAUAAGUUAGAGGUGAAAUCCCGAGGCUUAACUUCGGAAUUGCCUCUGAUACUGUGCGGCUAGAGAGUAGUUGCGGUAGGUGGAAUGUAUGGUGUAGCGGUGAAAUGCUUAGAGAUCAGACAGAACACCGAUUGCGAAGGCAGCUUACCAAGCUACAUCUGACGUUGAGGCACGAAAGCGUGGGGAGCAAACAGGAUUAGAUACCCUUGUAGUC